Molecule: long non-coding RNA, 3801 nt
Filed under: Podarcis lilfordi (Lilford's wall lizard)
Lineage: Eukaryota; Metazoa; Chordata; Lepidosauria; Squamata; Lacertidae
Source: RNAcentral
GAACUCUCAAAUUUCACUGCAACAUAUGUAGAGUUUUUCACCAAAGAAAGGCUAAGGCCUGAGGGAAUGCCAUACGCCCAAAGAGAAUAAUGUCCAAUAGUAACCCCCCACUUCCUCCCAGAAGUUCAGGCAGUGUGCAUCUCAUAUCUUUUUAUUCAAACGUUUUUAUUAUCACAAAUUGUGCCUAUCCCAAGAAGAACAGAUGCAAAGACUCAUUUUUUUGUAUUUUCUCUUCCUUACCCUGCUUGCUUAAAAUACUGAAAUCCAACAGUUGAUCUUUAAUCCUUCAUUAAAGUUGCAUCCUAUUAAUAAUUAACAUUGAGAACAAUAUAUCGUGUCUUCAUUUGGAUGUAACACUAAAAUGUCGUUUAGCAUUACAUGAACAAGCUUUGGGUUUGUGCACUUCUCCAUUUGUUUAGUGGGUCUACACAAAGGAGAUCAGAAGCUUUUGUUUCUGUUUCUAACUAACCAUGGCUUACCAGUAUGUCCCAUCCUGGACAAACUAUCCAUGGCUUACCAUUAUGUCCCAUCGUCUUUAUGGUUUAGUGAAGCGAGCCAAUUUCAAAUGUGGUCUAUAGUCCUGGCUUGUUUCCUAAACCAUAGUUAAGAUUAAACACAUUUGCAAAUCUGGUUAAUUGAAAAUGGAAAUGAAAGAUUCCUGUCUCCUCUCAGCUGCGCUGGAGGAGAGGGUGGGGUGUGAACCCUGUACAGCUUUGCCUAACACCAUACCAUAAUUUUGUUUUACAGACCAGUUUACUUAUCCAAUCCCUUCACCCUGUAUUUUCAGAAAUGUAAAAGACAAAUAAAUGUUCCAAUCCCAUGCAUAUUUACUUACUUGGGAUAAUAAUUAAGUGUGCCCUGCUUCUGAUUAGGCUUGUAUAGAAUCAGGCAACUGAGUUCAACUUUACAGUUUUGUUAAGAAUAUUAGUUUGUUUUACUCAGUGUAGUCUCAUUGAAAUGAAUAGACAUAAGUUAGUUAUGUUCAUUAAUUUUAGUAAGUCUACUUUGAGUAAAACCCACUGAUUUUCUCUCUCUUCAGGAUGGAAAACUUAAUGCCCAGGGACUUAAUGUGCCCCCCACCCCCACCCCCGCUGCCAGUCUCAGACCUCUCCACAGGCUACACCUCUCACUGGCUGUGUGUUGCAGGAGCAUUUUUGCCUGGUUGGAAUGUGUCCAUGACCUCUGAUCAUUCUUCUUGCUUGGCUGGGUGUGGGAUAUAGAGGGAUGAGUGAAUAUGUAUAGAAACUAGCCUACUCUACAAAAGGAGCAUCUGCAUUCAUUUCUGUGCCUGAUUUUGCCUCUGGCUCUGUCCAUGACUAGCAUGCAUCCCUGGAAAGGGAAUGUGGUUCUUGAGCUGAAAAAAAGAACCCUUUGCUAAACAGUAGCCACUAUGUCUAGCAGUAAAUUUUCUGCAUCCCAAAGGACAUGGUUUGUACUAUUCACCCCUUUUGUCCUCUGGAGACACUAUUUUAAGUUACUGAAUCAAUAGACCCAUUAUGCUGUCUACAAAUAAAGCAGGAUCUAGAGUCAUUACAAGGAGCUUGUGUGCUUAAUACCGUUACCUUAUUUUGUGGACUUUUCAUUUUAUGAGGAGGACUGUUCACUGGACAGCAAACUAGGUGAGUGAGGGGAUUUGCAUAGAGGACUAUGAGCCUAGGCAUAAAUGCUAAACCCUACAGUUCACCCCAACUUUUUUCACCCUGGUGUUGUGUAAGAUGUUUUGGACUACAACUCCCAUCAGCCCCAGGCAGUACAGCCAAUGGCCAGGGAUGAUGAUGGGAAUUGUAGUCUAGAAUAUAUGGAGGCUCACAAGCAGAUAUCCAAAAUAUCCAACAAACAGAUAUUUAAAUCUUUUCUGAACUAGAAAGAGAGAGAAAAAAGUGUAGUAUCUGUUUUCAGAGUCAAAUGCCAUACUAUCUUCCUCCCCUUGUUUUCCCUCUUGAAAAAGUAACUGACUUCUGAACAAUGCAUUGUGAGUGGAUGUCUCAACCUUUUCUAAAUGUUGAGCUCUGGCUAAGAUUCCCCCUGUUUGGAAAGUGGAAAGCUGGGCCCUGACUCCUCCUGAAUGACAGUGUUAAUUGCCAUUGACUGUAAUAGAAUAUGAAUAGCACAGCCACUUGACACCAACUUAAUGGUUCUGACUUUUCAGUGGCUGAGAGUGUUAAGGCUAGAGGGGAAAUAGGGUCAGAGAAUAGAUAAGAGCCCUUCUGAUUCUAUUGAAAAAGAUUAAAGCUUCUGAGUCUUUGAAGUGGCACUUGUGAGGUUUGCCAUUUGUAUGAAGUCAUGUUAAAAUGGAAAGUGAUUGGGAAGUUUUGCAGUUGCAGAAGCACCAUUAAAACACUUUUGCUAUGACAUUCCCUUAAUAUUGUUCAGGUCAAUUGCAGAACAAGAAACAACAAUUGGCUAUCUCACAUCUUUGAGAUUUGAAGAAGAGAUAAUCACACAGACCUGAUGAAUUGCUCCAGGGGCCACAUGACCCUGAACCAAUCUUUACAACUCUACUACAUAAAGUGUGCAGCAUUUCUCCACAUUUUCAUUUAGGGGAAAGAGAAAACAGUCCAGUUCUCAAGAGGGCCUUCAGUGUUGCACAGUUGGGGUUAUAAGUCCAUAAGCAGGAUAUAAGACAGCCUUUCCAUGUUUGUCUCUGGAAUGUAUAGUAUAUCUGUACAUGGAGGUUUCAUUCUGCUUUAUUGAAGCAAAUAGCCACUGGCAGACAAAUUGAUGGAGGACAGAUCUAAUUCCCCCUUUUAAUGGUAUCAGAGUUAGUAAAUAUCAUAGCAUGGCCUGGUAAUGGUAAAUUAUAAAUUAUGUAUUGUAUGAAAAAGUAGUUUUUUAAAAAGCCUGCCCUGAGCUUCCCUCCAGUUAGUUUCAUGGGCUGAGCCCGCAUUCUACUUACUACCGGUAUUAUGCAAGAAAGAGAAAUACACUACUUCUAUGAACUGAUAUACUGUAGUGGUAGAUUUUGAAGUGUGAGAGCUCAUCAUAGCCUCCCAUAGCCACAUCUCAAAGGAAAGUCCCAAAAUGUGGUACCUGUGUUGAUCCAUUAUGUGUGCACACUGAAGAGUAGCAGUGAAUAUAAUAUCCAAUUUAUUAAAAUCAGUUGACAGGCAUCGUAUAGUGAACUGACUAAGGAUGAUGUAAAGCAGGGGUGUCCAACAGGUCGAUGGUGUUCUACCCAUGUAGAUCCCCACGAGGUUUUGGUAGAUUGCAUUGGAUCUCUGUCUCCCUUUCCUUAGGGUCACUAAAAUUGACUCCUGCCCCGCCCCCUCGACCUGCCCUCCAUUGUUGUUUGAUCCCUGGAAUCAUUGUUUUUAUCCAUAGGGAUCCCUUUGUGAGUGACUUUAUCCCUUUGUCCCUUGCCUUUAACCCCUCCUAAAAAAGCUUUGAGCUGACCUCCCCCCAAAAAACAACAACAGGGGUAGAUCACUGCCAGUCUUUAAUUCUGAAAGUAGAUCACAGUCUCUCGAGAGUUGGCCACCCCUGAUGUAAAGUUUAUCAUACUGAAAUCUGGCUGGCAAGACUUAGGUUCACAUCUCUGAUCAGCAUGUGGCAUCACUAAUAUCCAGUUCAUAAUGCCGUGGGAGUAAACUCCACUAAAGUGCUACUAUGUAAAGGCUAGGAUGAAAUUGGAACUUCAUCACCAUCAUCAUUUUUUAUUUGUAUGCCGCCCUUCCAAAGUUAAAACAUGCUUACAGCAUGACAAGAUUUACAUAAUUACCAAUGUAACAAAAGUCAUAAACAAUAAAUAAAGCACAUCAAAAGGUACAUAACCAAAUGGAAAACAAUUUCCACAUAAAUCAU